Molecule: ribosomal RNA, 453 nt
Filed under: Gobius auratus (golden goby)
Lineage: Eukaryota; Metazoa; Chordata; Actinopteri; Gobiiformes; Gobiidae
Description: partial 16S ribosomal RNA
Rfam family: Bacterial large subunit ribosomal RNA
Source: RNAcentral
UUUAACGGCCGCGGUAUUUUGACCGUGCGAAGGUAGCGUAAUCACUUGUCUUUUAAAUGAAGACCCGUAUGAAUGGCACGACGAGGGCCACGCUGUCUCCUUUAUCUAGUCAAUGAAAUUGAUCUACCCGUGCAGAAGCGGGUAUGCCACCAUAAGACGAGAAGACCCUAUGGAGCUUUAGACACCAGAACAGACCAAGUUAAGGCACCUAUAUUAAUGGGACUAAACCAGGAGGACCCCUGUUCAAUUGUCUUUGGUUGGGGCGACCGCGGAGGAGAACAAAACCCCCGCACGGAAUGGGUAAAACCCCUAAGACCGGCNCCGCAGGCCUGGUCAGCAGAACAUCUGGCCACCAAGAUCCGGCAACGCCGAUCAAUGACCCAGUUACCCUAGGGAUAACAGCGCAAUCCCCUUCUAGAGCUCACAUCGACAAGGGGGUUUACGACCUCGAUG